Molecule: ribosomal RNA, 391 nt
Filed under: Bacteroidales bacterium
Lineage: Bacteria; Pseudomonadati; Bacteroidota; Bacteroidia; Bacteroidales
Description: partial 23S ribosomal RNA
Rfam family: Bacterial large subunit ribosomal RNA
Source: RNAcentral
GUUUGGCACCUCGAUGUCGGCUCAUCACAUCCUGGAACUGAAAGCGGCUCCAAGGGUUUAGCUGUUCGCUAAUGAAAGUGGUACGUGAGCUGGGUUCAGAACGUUGUGAAACAGUUCGUCCCUAUCUACUAUUAGUUUAGAGAAGUAUUAUGACUUACAUCUAGUACGAAAGGAAUGGAAUAAGCGCGUCAAUUGUGUACCGAUUGUUAUUUCCUGUAGCAUAGUCGGGUAGCUACACGCGUCGAGAUAAUCACUGAAUUACACUAAGUGAGAAGCUCACAUAACUAAUUCUCUAUGAGAACGGUGAUAGACUAUCACUUUGAUAGGUCAAGUGUGUAAGUAGAGUAAUCUAUUUAGCUAAUUGAUACUAAUUGUUCGAGAAUAUUUUGUC